Non-coding RNA from Achromobacter piechaudii ATCC 43553, 406 nucleotides. NCBI's taxonomy places the organism in Bacteria, Pseudomonadati, Pseudomonadota, Betaproteobacteria, Burkholderiales, Alcaligenaceae. The record is from Rfam.
AAGGCGGGUCGGGCGAUCGCGGUGGAUGCAAAUCCAUCGAGGAAGGUCCGGACUCCACAGGGCAGGGUAACGGCUAACGGCCGUCCGGUCGCGUCUUCGGACGCGGUUGAGGAAUAGGGCCACAGAGACGAGACUGGGAAGCGGGCGCGCUUUGCGCGCACAGGUACGGCCAUCUCCGUAUCGCGUCGUUCGGCAACGAACGGCGGCGUCUCAGGGUGAAACGCGGCAACCUCUACCCGGAGCAACAUCAAAUAGGCAUGCGUGCGGCCCUCGGGUCGCGAAGGGCGGCUCCGUCCAAGCAUGCGGGUAGGUGGCUAGAGCGGCUCAGCAAUGAUCCGCGCAGAGGAAUGAUCGUCCGCCAGGGCAACCUGGUGUACAGAAUCCGGCCUAUAGACCCGUCUUGCAU